This 494-nucleotide ribosomal RNA is filed under the name uncultured bacterium. RNAcentral's name for it is "partial 16S ribosomal RNA". It matches the Rfam family "Bacterial small subunit ribosomal RNA", at positions 28 to 507 of the family's 1533-position model. The record is from RNAcentral.
GACGAACGCUGGCGGCGUGCCUAAUACAUGCAAGUCGAACGGUUUAGUUCCAAGAGGCAAGACUCUUGGAACUAAGCAGUGGCGGACGGGUGAGUAACACGUAGGCAACCUACCUGUCAAACCGGGAUAACCUCGGGAAACCGAAGCUAAACCCGGAUAAGCUCCUUUUUCGCAUGAAGGGGGAGUGAAAAGGUGCGACCUGAUGACAGACGGGCCUGCGGCGCAUUAGCUAGUAGGUAGGGUAACGGCCUACCUAGGCGAUGAUGCGUAGCCGACCUGAGAGGGCGUACGGCCACACUGGGACUGAGAUACGGCCCAGACUCCUACGGGAGGCAGCAGUAGGGAAUCUUCGGCAAUGGGCGAAAGCCUGACCGAGCAACGCCGCGUGAGUGAGGAAGGCCUUCGGGUUGUAAAACUCUGUUGUUUGGGAAGAAGGGAAAGGGUAGGACCCUUAGGUGACGGUACCAAACGAGAAAGCCCCGGCUAACUACGUG